UACGUAGGAUGCAAGCGUUGUCCGGAAUUAUUGGGCGUAAAGAGCGCGCAGGCGGUUUGGAAAGUUGGGCGUGAAAUUUUAGGGCUUAACCCUAAAGGGUCGUCCAAAACUCCCAGACUAGAGUGCAGGAGAGGAAAGCGGAAUUCCCGGUGUAGUGGUGGAAUGCGUAGAUAUCGGGAGGAACACCAGUGGCGAAAGCGGCACUCUGGGCCUAAACUGACGCUGAGGGGCGAAAGCGUGGGGAGCGAACGGG
Molecule: ribosomal RNA, 253 nt
Filed under: uncultured bacterium
Lineage: Bacteria
Description: partial 16S ribosomal RNA
Rfam family: Bacterial small subunit ribosomal RNA
Source: RNAcentral